GGUCAGGUCCCAACAAAUUCUUUCUUCAAAACCGAGUCAGGCCGGAAGGAGCAGCUCUAUGAUGUUAAGAAUUGUGUCUGGUAAACCUGACCUUU
Molecule: signal recognition particle RNA, 95 nt
Filed under: Candidatus Treponema equifaecale
Lineage: Bacteria; Pseudomonadati; Spirochaetota; Spirochaetia; Treponematales; Treponemataceae
Description: signal recognition particle sRNA small type
Rfam family: Bacterial small signal recognition particle RNA
About the family: The signal recognition particle (SRP) is a universally conserved ribonucleoprotein involved in the co-translational targeting of proteins to membranes. Archaeal SRP consists of a 7S RNA and homologues of the eukaryotic SRP19 and SRP54 proteins.
Source: RNAcentral